Molecule: ribosomal RNA, 2091 nt
Filed under: Eugerda sp.
Lineage: Eukaryota; Metazoa; Arthropoda; Malacostraca; Isopoda; Desmosomatidae
Description: SSU rRNA
Source: RNAcentral
CAUAUGCUUGUCUCAAAGAUUAAGCCAUGCAUGUCUGAGUACAGACCGAUCUAAGGUGAAACCGCGAAUGGCUCAUUAAAUCAGCUAUAAUUCCUUGGAUAGUGAAAAACUUUCCUCGGAUAACUGUGGAAAAUCCAGAGCUAAUACGUGCAACUGAGCUCCGACCUCGGCGUGAGUCGUGGGAAGAGCGCAUUUAUUAGAUUCAAAACUGACCGGUGUACUCCUUCGGGAUACGCCGUUUGUCAAAAGUUUGAUGAUUCCGGAUAACUUUAGCCGAGCGCUACGGUCUUUAGUACCGGCGCCGUAUCUUUCAAGUGUCUGCCUUAUCAGCUUUCGAUUGUAGGUUAAACGCCUACAAUGGCUGUAACGGGUAACGGGGAAUCAGGGUUCGAUUCCGGAGAGGGAGCCUGAGAAACGGCUACCACAUCUAAGGAAGGCAGCAGGCACGCAAAUUACCCACUCCCAGCCCGGGGAGGUAGUGACGAAAAAUAACGAUGCGAGACUCUUCCGAGGCCUCGCAAUCGGAAUGAGUCCAUUUUAAAUCCUUGGACGAGGAUCCAUUGGAGGGCAAGUCUGGUGCCAGCAGCCGCGGUAAUUCCAGCUCCAAUAGCGUAUAUUAAAGUUGCUGCGGUUAAAAAGCUCGUAGUUGGACUUUCUAGAUCCAUUUCGUGGAUGAGUCGCUCUUUGUACUAGCGUCUCGUGCCGUCCCCUAGUGACGUCGUCGCGUGUUGUUCUUUCUAGGCCUCUGGUCGAUUGAGGAUUUCCCGGCGUUUCAGAACUUUGUGGGCGUCGAGGCGUUGUCUUUGAGUAUAGCUCGUCCGCGUUUGGUACAAUUAAAAUUUUGUCGGCUCGCUCGGAGUGCUCUUUACCGAGUGUUCCAGGGUGGCUGACACGUUCACUUUGAAAAAAUUAGAGUGCUUAAAGCGGGCUUAUUUACGGCCUGAAUGUCUGUGCAUGGAAUGAAGUAACAGGACCUCGAUUCUGUUGUUUUUGUCGGUUUUAAUGAACCGAGGUAAUGAUUAAAAGGGACAGACGGUGGCAUUAGUAUUGCGGCGCUAGAGGUGAAAUUCUUGGACCGUCGCAAGACUAACUACUGCGAAAGCAUUUGCCGAGAAUGUUUUCAUUAAUCAAGAACGAAAGUUAGAGGAUCGAAGGCGAUCAGAUACCGCCCUAGUUCUAACCCUAAACUAUGCUAACUAGCGAUCCGCCGGAGUCAUUCCCACGACCCGGCGGGAAGCCCCAGGGAAACCAAAGUCUUUGAGUUCCGGGGGAAGUAUGGUUGCAAAGCUGAAACUUAAAGGAAUUGACGGAAGGGCACCACCAGGAGUGGAGCSUGCGGCUUAAUUUGACUCAACACGGGAAACCUCACCAGGCCCGGACAUCAUUAGGAUUGACAGGUUGAGAGCUCUUUCUCGAUUUGAUGGGUGGUGGUGCAUGGCCGUUCUUAGUUGGUGGAGUGAUCUGUCUGGUUGAUUCCGAUAACGAACGAGACUCUACCCUACUAACUAGUCGGCGGAUCGUAACCCUGAGAUGGUUAGUUUGUAUAGGAGAGUUUUGCCUAGGCGAAAGAUCUUGUCGAGACGUAGGUAGUUGCUCAUUAGCUAUUUGCGAAGAGUGGCCCUGUGUCCGGUUUGUGAUUUUGUCGAAGCGAMUUUCUGAUUGCUGCUACUGCUGGGGGCGUCCGUCGCAAUAUAUCUUCUUAGAGGGAUCAGCGGCGUAUAGCCGCACGAGAAAGAGCAAUAACAGGUCUGUGAUGCCCUUAGAUGUUCUGGGCCGCACGCGCGCUACAAUGUAGGGCUCAGCGUGCUUUCCCUCUCCGAAAGGAGCGGGUAACCCGUUGAAACCCCUACCCGAUUGGGAUUGGGGAUUGCAAUUAUUUCCCAUAAACGAGGAAUUCCCAGUAAGCGCGAAUCAUUAAUUCGCGCUGAUUACGUCCCUGCCCUUUGUACACACCGCCCGUCGCUACUACCGAUUGAAUGAUUGGGUGAGGGCAUCGGACUGGCCCUUCGGUUUAGUAACCUAGACCUUAGGCUGACGGAAAGAUGUCCAAACUUAAUCAUUUAGAGGAAGUAAAAGUCGUAACAAGGUUUC